RNAcentral lists this ribosomal RNA (440 nucleotides) under uncultured bacterium. Its description in RNAcentral is "partial 16S ribosomal RNA". It matches the Rfam family "Bacterial small subunit ribosomal RNA", at positions 338 to 795 of the family's 1533-position model. The record is from RNAcentral.
CCUACGGGGAGCUGCAGUAGGGAAUAUUGCUCAAUGGGGGAAACCCUGAAGCAGCAACGCCGCGUGGAGGAUGAAGGUUUUCGGAUUGUAAACUCCUUUUGUUAGAGAAGAUAAUGACGGUAUCUAACGAAUAAGCACCGGCUAACUCCGUGCCAGCAGCCGCGGUAAUACGGAGGGUGCAAGCGUUACUCGGAAUCACUGGGCAGAAAGAGCGCGUAGGCGGGAUAGCAAGUCAGAUGUGAAAUCCUAUGGCUUAACCAUAGAACUGCAUUUGAAACUGUUAUUCUAGAGUAUGGGAGAGGUAGGUGGAAUUCUUGGUGUAGGGGUAAAAUCCGUAGAGAUCAAGAGGAAUACUCAUUGCGAAGGCGACCUGCUAGAACAUAACUGACGCUGAUGCGCGAAAGCGUGGGGAGCAAACAGGAUUAGAUACCCGAGUAGUC